Chroicocephalus ridibundus (black-headed gull) is the source of this 528-nucleotide long non-coding RNA. RefSeq lists it as uncharacterized. The transcript has 3 exons. NCBI's taxonomy places the organism in Eukaryota, Metazoa, Chordata, Aves, Charadriiformes, Laridae. The record is from RefSeq and is a predicted model, not a curated record.
CAGAGGUGAGGGGAGGUGCUGGCUGCCAUGGUGGAGGGCUACGCCGUCUCGUUCGGCCCUGGCACGGCUGGCGGACUCUUGGGGCGCCUCGGAGACUGUGGGCUGUCUCUGCUCGUCCCUCUGGGUGUGCCAUGGCUGUGGCAGAAAGGGCCCCGCAUCCCCAGGCCCUGCCCGCAUCCUCCUCCGCUGGGUGGGACGGCGCCAUCUUGAGUGUGACCGAGCGGCGGGUUGCGGAGCAGCUGUGUGAAGCGGCGUCCCGGCCGUCCGGAGCCGGGGAGCGGGCACGGCGGCGCCUGUUGGCACACCCGUCUGUUCGCAGCGCUUUGGAGAAGCUUCCUUGGAGAAGUGGCCUCUGUCAACUGAGAAUUGGACAGCAAACCACCGCAGCUCUGCCCCUGCCCUGAUGGAGCACCAGGUGGGAAGUCUACAGCUGCUGCUCGUCCAGCCCAGCCUGCACUGCCCAGACUCACCGCACCUCCACACCGCAGGCGGAUCUCCAUUUUUAGUUUUCUUCGGCUACAGAUACCC